This 430-nucleotide ribosomal RNA is filed under the name Bacteroidota bacterium. RNAcentral's name for it is "Bacteroidetes bacterium partial 16S ribosomal RNA". It matches the Rfam family "Bacterial small subunit ribosomal RNA", at positions 355 to 776 of the family's 1533-position model. The record is from RNAcentral. Lineage: Bacteria; Pseudomonadati; Bacteroidota.
UAGGGAAUCUUCGGCGAUGGGGGGAACCCUGACCGAGCAACGCCGCGUGAGUGAAGAAGGUUUUCGGAUCGUAAAGCUCUGUUGUUAAGGAAGAACGAGUGUGAGAAUGGAAAGUUCAUACUGUGACGGUACUUAACCAGAAAGGGACGGCUAACUACGUGCCAGCAGCCGCGGUAAUACGUAGGUGGCAAGCGUUGUCCGGAUUUAUUGGGCGUAAAGCGAGCGCAGGCGGUCAAUUAAGUCUGAUGUGAAAGCCCCCGGCUCAACCGGGGAGGGUCAUUGGAAACUGGUUGACUUGAGUGCAGAAGAGGAGAGUGGAAUUCCAUGUGUAGCGGUGAAAUGCGUAGAUAUAUGGAGGAAUACCGGUGGCGAAGGCGACUUUCUGGCCAUAAUCUGACGCUGAGGUACGAAAGCGUGGGUAGCAAACAGG